CUGGACCUUGUACAUUUGUCGGCUGCAGAAUGGACUUUGGAAGGCAUCUAUGGAGAAAGAGUGCUUAGUAACCAACGUCAAUUUUUUGAGGACUGCCAGAGGUGGACAUUUGGAUCACAGAGUCUGGCAGCUCAUUCAUAAGCCUAAAGUCAACAAGGAGUAAAGGUUAGCCAUUUCAUUUUGGUAAAUGUUAAACCAUACUCCAUACUGUUUUUGUUUCUUAUACCAAAUAAUAGUUUUAACAUGUAUGAGCAGAUAACUGUAUGAGUAGAAUUUGUCAAUAUUUAGAAAAUAACUAGAAACCUAUCCUAUUUGUGUUUAUAAUUCACAUUGCUUUUUUUAUAAUAUGCCUUUUAAAAGUAGUUCUCAAUUAAAUCAGAGAAACAGACUUUCCACUCUCCCAUAUUCUUUGUCAGCAGCACUUUCAACACUUUUACAAAGCAGUUCAAAGAACACUGGACAAUAUAUAACCACAGCAGCUGUGAUCCUGUGAUCAACAGCCACCGCAUAGGAGGCUAAGUGCUGUUUCUGGACCUGUGAAAGAGAAGAGGCGAAAAGGGAAACAUGCUUACUUGGACUUGGCCUCCAGGACCUGUACUGGAUUUCUGAGCAUUGACAGCCAGGGGAGAGUUCCACAUUGCCAGUGGAGCAGGCAGUAGCCCAGCACCUCCAGGUCCCCUCGUCUGGAUGGGGCUGCCACAGAGAAAGUGUAGAGCACAGAGCAUAAACACGUUAUAAGCCCUACAGGUGAUAAUUAGGCCUUUAGCACGGAGUUCAGCGGGAAGCAGAGUGCCUGUCUUCUCACUCCUCACCAUGGUAACACAUCAACAUCUACGCAGGGUGCCAGAGGCCACGAGCAAAGGAACACUCCACAAUCUGCAUUCAUCUACGGGGGCGACUUGACGCUAACGACCUACACAACAGCUGUCAGCUCAUGAUGAGAAGUCCACUACUGUGACACCAAAAUCAGGAAACUCUGGGAGCUGACAGCAGAAGCAUGGAAGCUUUACCUUGGCAUGGAUUUAGUAUUGAACUACUCUACUGCCUGCACUACUUUGCAGGAAAAAGAUAUUGGCUUUGAGUCCCAGUCUAACAAAACAUCAAAGCUUUAAUUAAUGGUAAAUGCAUACAAGAUGCAGGUUAUCACUUGGACUAUUUAGGGAAUUGUUGAAUUAAGUCUGGCCAGGUACACACAACCAAGUCAAUCAAUAUCCCAUAAAAAGACUGUAUGCAAUUUACAACUUAAUGUGUUUCCAAUAUCUCAACCAGGAAUUAAGAGCAUGAUAUGUUGGUUGCUGUCUAUGUACACUGUGCUUGAUACUGAGGUAAGUACAGAUAAUGAAAAUACAAGUUCUAUACUAUAAAAUAUGCAGAAUAUAUUAAUCUUAGGGGUUUUGCUUCUGCCUUUGUAAAUCUGAGAAAGGUUUAGACUUUAUAAAAUGUUAUAAUUUUUAACUAAAUCCUGUUAUGAAAACUCUUUAAUGUGCCUCUUCUGGAAGUAAAAGUUAUAGAAUAUAUGGAAUAUUAAGUCAAGUUACUCUGAAUAGUGAAGAUGAAAACAUGAACAAGCAUUGAAAGAUUAAAGUUAUAACCUUAUGGAACAAUCUAUUACUAACUGAAAUUAAGUACUUACUGUUAUAGAAGUUAAAACACAUAAUUCUAUUAGUAUUAAAUAGUUUAAAGGAGAAAAUUAGUUGUCACUUAGAUACGCAGGAUCAUCCAUCUUUGUGUCAUAAGUAAAAAAGUAAGUCGUGGCAUUUGUCGUCUCUUUACGCAUAGGUUGACUGCAAUAAUUGCUGAAUAAUUUGAUCAGUUCUGUAGACUAAAUUUCUUGUUAAUAAUAUUAAGGUCACCUAAUGCAUUUAAACCUUGUCUGUAAAGAGUCAAUAAGGACACUUCUCUGUAGUGAUGAUGUGACUGUGACCUUUUGACAGACGGUAUCUGAUCACAAACUGAACUGAUGUCUACUCCACUAAUCCAUUGCAUUCCAACAGCAAUCAAAGCCUGACAUUCACUGUGUGAGAAAAGCACACUGCACUUGCAAGGUUUUAGACAUGCUACAUUUACUGCUGCAUUUGAUGAACUGGCUUCUUAACUAAUGUGGUAUUUGCAGGCACAAAGCCAAGGCAAGGUUAGAAAAAAAAACCUAAAGAAAACUAUUUCUUUGUGUCAAGGUUUAUUUGAAAUCUUAAAAUGAAGCCUAUUAUUGAUUGAAAAACUCAAUUUUGGUCAAAGCAAAAUGACAUCUGACAGGUUUUUUUCUGACCACUGGAAAUAUUUACAGAUAGUAAAGAGACAUUAUCUGAAAACAGUAGAUAAAAUGAAUUAAUUGAUACAUUGAAUGAAUGAAUGAG
This is a long non-coding RNA of Clarias gariepinus (North African catfish), 2354 nucleotides long. RefSeq lists it as uncharacterized. The record is from RefSeq and is a predicted model, not a curated record. Lineage: Eukaryota; Metazoa; Chordata; Actinopteri; Siluriformes; Clariidae. The transcript has 4 exons.